RNAcentral lists this small RNA (99 nucleotides) under Cavia aperea (Brazilian guinea pig). RNAcentral describes it as "7SK RNA (ENSCAPG00000002113.1)". It matches the Rfam family "7SK RNA", at positions 7 to 100 of the family's 331-position model. From Rfam's summary of the family: 7SK was discovered as an abundant small nuclear RNA in the mid-70s but a possible function has only recently been suggested. Two independent studies have found that 7SK RNA binds the CDK9/cyclin T complex (known as elongation factor P-TEFb). Lineage: Eukaryota; Metazoa; Chordata; Mammalia; Rodentia; Caviidae. The record is from RNAcentral.
GAGGGCAUUUUGGCUGCAACAUCUGUCACCCCACUGAUCAGCAGGGUUGAUUGGGCUGAUCUGGCUGGCUCUGCCUUGACUGCUCCACCUGCAUCCCUC